CCUACGGGAGGCUGCAGUGGGGAAUUUUGCGCAAUGCUCGUAAGAGUGACGCAGCGACGCCGCGUGAAUGACGAAGGCCUUCGGGUCGUAAAGUUCUUUCGACAGGGAAGAAAAUGCCUAUAAGUAACUGUGUAUGUAUUGACGGUACCUGUAUAAGCAGCCCCGGCUAACUCCGUGCCAGCAGCCGCGGUAAUACGGAGGGGGCGAGCGUUGUUCGGAGGGACUGGGCGUAAAGAGCACGUGGGCGGUGUUGUAAGUCAUUAGUCAAAGACUAGAGCUCAACUUUAGUAAGGCUAGUGAUACUAUAAUACUAGAGUACCAGAGAGGAUUGCAGAAUUCCUGGUGUAGCGGUGAAAUGCGUAGAUAUCAGGAGGAAUACCGUUAGCGAAGGCGGCAAUCUGGCUGGAAACUGACGCUGAGGUGCGAAAGCGUGGGUAGCAAACAGGAUUAGAUACCCUAGUAGUC
Molecule: ribosomal RNA, 465 nt
Filed under: uncultured bacterium
Lineage: Bacteria
Description: partial 16S ribosomal RNA
Rfam family: Bacterial small subunit ribosomal RNA
Source: RNAcentral